This 432-nucleotide ribosomal RNA is filed under the name uncultured bacterium. Its description in RNAcentral is "partial 16S ribosomal RNA". It matches the Rfam family "Bacterial small subunit ribosomal RNA", at positions 29 to 506 of the family's 1533-position model. The record is from RNAcentral.
AACGAACGCUGGCGGCAUGCCUAACACAUGCAAGUCGAACGAGACCUUCGGGUCUAGUGGCGCACGGGUGCGUAACGCGUGGGAACCUGCCCUUAGGUUCGGAAUAACUCCCCGAAAGGGGUGCUAAUACCGGAUAAUGUCUUCGGACCAAAGAUUUAUCGCCUUUGGAUGGGCCCGCGUUGGAUUAGCUAGUUGGUAGGGUAAAAGCCUACCAAGGCGACGAUCCAUAGCUGGUCUGAGAGGAUGAUCAGCCACACUGGGACUGAGACACGGCCCAGACUCCUACGGGGGGCAGCAGGGGGGAAUAUUGGAAAAUGGGCGAAAGCCUGAUCCAGCAAUGCCGGGGGGGGGAUGAAGGCCUUAGGGUGUUAAAGCCCUUUUACCCGGGAUGAUAAUGACAGUACCGGGAAAAUAAGCCCCGGCUAACUCCAU